GUUUGAGACUGAUGCUGAUUUUGAGACAUCCUUGUCAAUGAAUGAAGAUCUUUACCACACUAAGUACAGGGAAAAGCUUGAGAUGAUGCACAAGGUAAUUAUCUAUUAAAUUUAUUUAUUUCCUCCAACAGUAAUUAAUCUUUAUGCAUUUGAAUUAUUGUUUCAAAAGAAACUCCUCUAUUUUCUACAUUUCAAAUCUGAAUAAAUUUUGGGCCAUUUACUCAUACAUGACUAUACAUGUUGACAUUCUUUCAGAUAAGAAAUAAGGUGACAGUGAACCCACAAUAUCUUUGAGUCAUUACUUUAUGUCACGAAAUUUUUUUGCAUGCUUGGAGUGGAUUUUUCGAUUACUCAGUUGUUGAAACAAUAUGAAUGGCGAUUUGAACAAGUAAUGGCUACUCCUGCCCUUGCACAGGUGCGUCUUCAACUUAACCUCGUUUUCCACUGAAAUCGGCAUAAAGAUUUGCUUCUUCUUCUAUGUCUGCUACUAAAGUUGUGCCCGAUCCAUUUGGGAUGGAAGCCAAAAUUAUAUACCACCUCGUAUGUUCAUUCAAUAUUGAAAUGUUAAUUCUAUUUAAAUGCUAAUUUUUUCACCUGUUAUUUUAUCAUGUUGCACUUUUUCAAUAAAAAUUAAUGGGAUAAAUUUCCUAUGUAACAUGCCGGAUAUCAUAUCCUUAUUAAUUGGAACAAGUACAAAUGGCUGGAGAGUAGAGCUUUCACACAAUUCUAGGGGUGGAAGUGGUGGCAAAGCUUACUCUAGGCAAGCAUGGAGAUGCCUAUUAUUUACUUCCUAAUUCUACUUCGUUAGAAAUACAUCUGGUACCAGAAGCAAAAGCUACUCACGAUAAAUCAAGGUACUAAUCUAAAAACCAUCUUUUGCAUUCUACUUUUCUCCAAAGUACAUGAGAGUAUUUCCAAUGAAGUGGCUGGUGAAUGUUAGAGAGAAAGAAUUAUUAAAUACAUCAAAAUUAUAUACCACCUCAUAUGUUCAUUCAAUAUUGAAAUGUUAAUUCUCCUCGAGUGCUAAUUUUUUCAUCUGUUAUUUUAUCAUAUUGCAUUUUCUUCAAUCAACAUUAAUGGGAUGUUAAAUUUCGUAUGUAACAUGCUAGAAUCAUAUCCUUAUUAAUUGGAACAAGUACAAAUGGAUGGAGAGUAGAGCUUUCUCACAAUUCUAGGGAUGGAAGUGGUGGCAAAGGUGGUGGUGGUGUUAGGGGGCAUGGCCGUUUUGGUUUUGCUUUAAAAUCCUCCCAGUAUGCUGAGCAUGACUGUUUUGCCAGUUAAUGCAUGAACCAUACGGGUUUUCAAAGGCGUAGGAGUCUUACUCUCCUUAGAUAUCGCAGGAGCCCAAGCUAUGGUAGAAGGUAAUAUAUACUAAGUUACUAAGUUUUUGGUUUUUGGGAAAGAAUAAAGAACUUUGAUUAUUAUUUUUAACUCAAUCUUUGAAUGACGUUGUUAGUUAAAUGAGCAAUUUGAAUCUAUACAACCAUUCUCCUCGACAUCGAACUAUUCACCUUGAGGACGCAUCUGUUGAGUGGGUUCAGCCCACGUGUUUCAAUUUAAGCCCAAGAGGAGAUAUUAAUUGGCCCAAGCAAUUAUCUUUUAGUUAGGUCAUUAGUGGUCUUAUAUAUAUAAAUUGGUGGCUACAGGUGUGGAAGUCAAAAAUAGUGGCUAUAUAAAAAUAUAGAUAUCUUUCUCUAAACUGUGGCUAUAAUUGUGAGACAAAUUGUAGAGGUCAAAGUUGGCAGCUUUGUGUGUGAGGCAAAAAACAUAAACUGCUAGGUUGCUGCUGCUGCGAGGAGGGAAACCGGCUGAAAAAAUGAAGAAAGGGCUGUGCACGUGUGGAAGAAGAAAAAGGAAGAAAAUGUUUAUUUUCUUUCAAUAUUGUUUUGGGUGUGGGUUCACAGGGAUUUUCUUCCCUGCAAAAUGUAAAUUGGAAAUUUCUCUAAGUUGCAAUUUGGGUACUCUAGAGGUGUAGUAUUCAAAGUAGGUACGCACAAGGUUGAUCAAAUUGUUUAUUUGUGGUGAGAUUAUUUGUGAUCUUAGAGACUAAUUGUUGCGGUAUUGCAAUUUGUGGAGAAUUCAAGUUUAUCUAAACUUGAAUAAUUGUAAUAUAUAUUUUAUUAUAGUGGAUUUUGGCCGGAGUUGCUCCGUGAUUUUUCCCCCUCUACAAUGGAGGGUUUUUUUCCCCAUAAAAAUUUGGUGUUGCAUUUUUUUAUUUUUGCUUGG
Molecule: long non-coding RNA, 2226 nt
Filed under: Olea europaea subsp. europaea
Lineage: Eukaryota; Viridiplantae; Streptophyta; Magnoliopsida; Lamiales; Oleaceae
Source: RNAcentral